This 3804-nucleotide long non-coding RNA is filed under the name Homo sapiens (human). RNAcentral's name for it is "HSALNT0130354". Lineage: Eukaryota; Metazoa; Chordata; Mammalia; Primates; Hominidae. The record is from RNAcentral.
CUCCCCUGUCACACGCCCUGUGAGGGGGACAAGGGAACUUUUCCUGUUUCACUACUAUGCGGCUGGAGCCCAAAAGCACUCAUCCCAGCUCCUGCACCUGUCUGUCUGCAUGUUUCCCCCUCUUGUAAGGGGUUUGAGUACAUGGUGGCCAAGCAAACAGGCCACACCCUUGUUGCAAGUCCCGCGAGAGGUUCAGAGAACUCUCCCGUUUCACUCCUGCCUCAGGCCUCAGCCACCACAGUAAGUGGAACUCUAUACCUCCACCUCGCCUGGCUGGGUGGAGCCUCUAAACUCAGGAUUCUGCCUUGAGCUGUGGCUCUCCCCUCAGGUUGACAGGGUCCAGAGCAAAACCUACGGAAGAAGCUGCAGAGGCCAGGUGGAGGGAAGGAUGCUGAACUGGAGGAGGCCAGGAAAUUAUGAGGUACACCAAUCAAACAUAGUGUGUCCAGAAUUUGUGGGUUCUUGGUCUCACUGACUUCAAGAACGAAGCUGCGGACCCUCACGGUGAUUCUAAGCACAUUAAAAUCUGGAUGACACUUAUCUGAAUCAUUUCGCAACUUGGAGAGAGAUGGAGAAGACACGCAUGGUGUAACUGGGCAUCACCAGAAUGUGCACUGCCAUCUGUGGCUGUCUUCCUGCUGGCAAAUCCUUUUCAUUCCAAGCAAAUAAGAUUCCCUAAAUUAGACAAAAAGGAAGAAACACAACAGAGUCCAUAAUUCUGAGAGGAAGAGAAGAGUGAUCAUCAGCAGCAAAAGGCAAUUGCAGAGAAGCACCACCAAGAGCCAGCUUCAUGCUCAGGAGUGAAUGCUGAGCCGCCUCCUCGUGGUUUCCGGUGCUCCACAUGUUCAGAGAAACUUCUCUGCUUAAUUUGCAGGCCCCCAGGUACUGAACUUAAGAGGACAGAGGAAAAGUUUUUCCUCCCUGACACUGAGCAACCAGAGGCUGCUGUUAAGUAACCUUCCCUCAUUUCUACGUCUGUCCUCUGCCCCUUCCAGCCCCUCAACCCACAUUGUCUCUCAUGUUCCUAUUCACCUAAAAGAGGAAAAUCAUAUUAUUUCAAUAAACCUCUGCCUUAUAGUUUGUAAACUGUUUUCUGUUGUUUUUUUGUUUUGUUUUGAGACAGAGUCUUGCAGUGGCACCAUCUCAGCUCAGUGCAACCUCUGCCUCCCAAGUUCAAGCGAUUCUCCUGCCUCAGCCUCCUGAGGAGCUGGGAUUACAGGCGUGCGCCACCACGCCCAGCUAAUUUUUGUAUUUUUAGUAGAGACGGGCUUUCACCGUGUUGGUCAGGCUGGUCUCGAACUCCUGACCUCAUGAUCCACCCACCUCAGCCUCCCAAAAUGCUGGGAUUACAGAUGUGAGCCACCGAGCCCGGUCAACUGUUUUCUGUCCUUGUAAUUGGUAUAAUGACAAUUGCAUUAAUACUUCAUCUGCUGGACACUGGGUAAGAACUCUCCAAGUGUAAGUGGAAAUUUUUCUGCAAAUGGAUCUCAUGUUACAUAGCACAGGCCUACCAUAAUAUCAGAAUUACAGAAUUUGGAUUUGAACAUCAAAUACAGAUAUGUUCCCUAUAUACAUUUUCAUAAAUCAAUCAAAAGAAUCCUGUAAUCCUAGCACUCUGUAAUCCUAGCACUUUGGGAGGCCUAGGCGGGUGGAUCACCUGAGGUUAGGAGUCCAAGACCAGUUUGGCCAACAUGGUGAAAUCCUGUCUCUACAAAAAUUAAGUGGGCAUGAUGGCGGGUGCCUGUAAUCCCAGCUACUCAGGAGGCUGAGGCAGGAGAAUCGCUUAAACCCAGGAGGCAGAGGUUGCAAUGGUGCCAUUGUACUCCAGCAUGGGCAACUGAGUGAGACUCUGUCUGUCUCCAAAAAAAAAAAAAAAAAAAAAAAACCUGUCACACUCAAAGCAUGAUUUUUUUAAAGUAAAGGAACAAAAACUCUUUGGUCCCUACAGUCAUAUCUCACAGAUCUUAACAAACAAGUUCCUAAUUAAGUAAUAAUACAUAAAACUCAUAUUGGCCCAAGGUAGGAUCUAGAUGUUUUAGAAACUAGUCUAUUGGCCCUGACUCAGACCACAGGUGCUCACAGCCUCAGGCAGUGGGUCCCUUUGACAGCGGAAGGACUCCUGCCUUGCAAAGAUCAUUCACGGUAUUUGUCUACUCGGGCAUUUGGAGGAAUUUAUCUGAGAGAUCUCUGUUCCUCUGUGGCCCUGACAUGUCUUUUCUCCUCUUGUAUUUUCACUCUUACUUUUCUUCUUUCAGCAUUAGGAAUGCUUUCCUUUGUUCAAGCCAGCCCACUGUGUAAUCUUAACAACAUUCAUAAAAGGGAAUUCUUCAUACGUGCCCUUAGCUCACAGCGCCCCGCGUCAAGUUCUAGGAAUCCAUGUGUGAGGAACAAAGAGGAUUGUUUCGUCUGUAAAUGGGUUAUUCUGACAACAGGGCAAUUUUGGCUUCUCUCUAAGCUUCACAAAGCUUUGCAGCACAGCCCUGGCAAGGAAUCACAAUGACAAUGGCUGCACUGAAGCCACACACUCCAUGUGCAGGGCCGGAACAUGAUUAAAGCAAUCAAAUGCACGAGGUUUAGAGAAUGAACUGUUACAAAUUACAAGUUUGCAGGGGGAGAGGAUUUGGAAGUCUUUACUCAAGGUUCAAGCAUUAUAGCAAAUUGUGUCUAAUAUAAUAAUAUUAGAUUAUUAAUAUUAUUGUAGCUAAACUUUAACGCUUGUGAUAAAACACGUCAGAUUUAAACACAUCACUUUAAAUAGAAUUCCAAGGGUUAGGUCUUAUCUCCAUUUAGGAAGUGGGGAAACUGAGGAAUGAGGUUAUGAAAACUGCCUAAGGUUAAUCUGCUGGUGAGAGGCAGUGAUGGUGCUGGAAUCCAGGCCUCCUAGCUGUUGCUUCCUGCCUCAUCUUCUUCCUCUUUUUAGCUUCAGCAACAUCACAUGUUGCCUGGAGACCCACUGAAUGUUGGAUUCGGAGGUCACUUAGAGGUUACACUCCCCUCCCCUUCUUCACCUUAUGGGUGAAAAAGCAGAGGCUUGGGCAGGUCACUUGAGUUGCCCAAGGCCAAUUUAGGUGGAGCUAGGAGUACGACCUAAGUCUCCUGAGAUACAGCUUAAUAGGCUGUCUCCCACCCAGGGUUAUGUGUAUACUCUUUUCAUCCAAUUAAUUUUUCAGCCAACAGCUACAUCCUUUCAUUUGAGCCCUGUGCUUUCAAAUUACAUGUCUUCCCACUCAAAGAAGUGGGACUAAAUCCACAGAGUUUUGCAAGCUUAAAGGCACCUCUUAAAGAUCUGGAAGCCACCAGUAUUAUUCAUAUAAAUACAGAGCCAGGAGACGGAUCUCUAUAUUGCUUUAGGUAAAUCUCUUCUUAAAUUAAAACACAGAUUAUGUUACAGCAAGUCAUUAAGAGUCAUAAGAGGCAAAAGUGAGACAGUGAAUUGAUCAAAUCACCCACAGUCAUGGCGCAGACAUCAGUUUAGGCAAGUCAUCAUUUAACCUAAUUGAAGAGUUAAUACUUCCUACAUUCUUUACCUUCAACUUAUUUAUUUCUGGCCCUGAGUAUUUCAGAUGUGCUAAGUGCUGCCCUGAGAACUCCGUACUCACAACGUUCCUUUGCCCUUUCUUAAUCCUCCAAUGACAUUACCAGUGAGGUUCUGUUAUUAAAUCCAUUCCAUAGUCCCAAGAGACUGAGGUUUAAAGAAAUGAAGCAACCUGCCUGAGGUUGCUGAAGACUUUACCUGAAUCCAGGUGAUCCAGGUGCCAGGGGUCGGUGGCGGACGACAUGGGGGAGAGGGUCAGCGGCGAGGCC